CACAAUAAAAUAUGAAGGCUGUACGCGGCUGUGCUCUCGGGCCAGUUUUGCGGAGGCUGAAUUAUUUAUUACCCUUGUCUUUUGCGCACUUGUUGUUUCCUGGGCGGGUUCGCCCGCCACCAGGACCACAUCAUAAACCUUUUUUAUGCAGUUGCAAUCAGCGUCAGUAUAACAAACGUAAAUCAUUUA
RNAcentral lists this unclassified non-coding RNA (189 nucleotides) under soil metagenome. RNAcentral describes it as "partial internal transcribed spacer 1". The record is from RNAcentral.